RNAcentral lists this transfer RNA (72 nucleotides) under Syntrophobacteraceae bacterium. RNAcentral's name for it is "tRNA-Thr". It matches the Rfam family "tRNA". Rfam says of the family: Transfer RNA (tRNA) molecules are approximately 80 nucleotides in length. Their secondary structure includes four short double-helical elements and three loops (D, anti-codon, and T loops). Lineage: Bacteria; Pseudomonadati; Thermodesulfobacteriota; Syntrophobacteria; Syntrophobacterales; Syntrophobacteraceae. The record is from RNAcentral.
GCCGGCGUAGCUCAGUGGCAGAGCAGCUGAUUCGUAAUCAGCAGGUCGCGGGUUCAAAUCCCAUCGCCGGCU